AUAACUACCCCAAUACUCUAAAUACAUUAGGACUUCCAGAAGAAGAAAAAUAGUUGUUGCAUAUUCUAAAUCACAAGAAAUGGCAGCAAACAAGUUUUCAUCUCUUUUGUUAUUUUCAUUGAUGGUAUCUACGUUUAUCCUUUUACCAAUGGCUUCAGGACAAAUCCGUAUAUGUCCCGUAAGGAGACCACCUUGUAAGGUCAGCCAAGGAUGUAUACAAAACUGUAUAAAAUUAGGGUACAUGACAGGAGGCUGUGAAGAAAAAUAUUCAAGUAUAUAUUGUUGUUGUAUACACAAAAUGGAAUCUCGGGAUAAUAAUCAUCAUUCACCUAGUGCACACUAGUUACAUUUGUUGAUGUUUCUCUGGUUGACAACCAAAUAAUUAUUAUCAAAAUUAAUAAAAUUAUUUUCAAAACAAUCUAUUAAAGAUAUGGUGGGCAUAGUGAACAAUUUCUUCUAUGUCUUAAAUUGAAAAUGUUAUUUUUAAAUCGUUCUUAGCAAAUACAAUUGGGUAGAUUGGCAAGCUCUUUAGAAGUGCCGUAGGAUAUUUCUACGGCCUAAAUUAUUUCUAAAGUAUAAUUUUUUACCAAACAUGCUUUGUAAAGAAUUCUUAAAGCUACAGAUUUUUCUUUUCAUUUUGUUUAUGUUUAGCUGUGGAAAGCAAUAAACCUAGAUCACUUAUUUUUUGCUUUAGAAAAUUUAUAUGUAAGUCAUUAAAUAUUUUCAAACCUACAGCUAAAAUCCUACAACAAAAUUAUUUACAUCCACAAAAAAAAAAAUUUACAGUCUUAUUUUUACAGCAAAAAAAUAUAAAGCUACAGCUACUUCCAAUCAUCCCCAAUAAAAAA
Brassica napus (rape) is the source of this 848-nucleotide long non-coding RNA. RefSeq lists it as uncharacterized. The transcript is spliced from 3 exons. The record is from RefSeq and is a predicted model, not a curated record. NCBI's taxonomy places the organism in Eukaryota, Viridiplantae, Streptophyta, Magnoliopsida, Brassicales, Brassicaceae.